UUGCUUGCUUCAACAACACAUAUACUAUAAUUAGAACAAUACAGAGAAGAUUAUCAUGACCCCUGUGCAAAGAUGACAUGCAAAUUCGUGAAGUAUUUCAUAUUUUU
Gorilla gorilla gorilla (western lowland gorilla) is the source of this 107-nucleotide small nuclear RNA. The record is from Ensembl. NCBI's taxonomy places the organism in Eukaryota, Metazoa, Chordata, Mammalia, Primates, Hominidae.